AGAGCGAACGCUGGCGGCAGGCCUAACACAUGCAAGUCGAACGAACUCUUCGGAGUUAGUGGCGGACGGGUGAGUAACACGUGGGAACGUGCCUUUAGGUUCGGAAUAACUCAGGGAAACUUGUGCUAAUACCGAAUGUGCCCUUCGGGGGAAAGAUUUAUCGCCUUUAGAGCGGCCCGCGUCUGAUUAGCUAGUUGGUGAGGUAAAGGCUCACCAAGGCGACGAUCAGUAGCUGGUCUGAGAGGAUGAUCAGCCACAUUGGGACUGAGACACGGCCCAAACUCCUACGGGAGGCAGCAGUGGGGAAUCUUGCGCAAUGGGCGAAAGCCUGACGCAGCCAUGCCGCGUGAAUGAUGAAGGUCUUAGGAUUGUAAAAUUCUUUCACCGGGGACGAUAAUGACGGUACCCGGAGAAGAAGCCCCGGCUAACUUCGUGCCAGCAGCCGCGGUAAUACGAAGGGGGCUAGCGUUGCUCGGAAUUACUGGGCGUAAAGGGAGCGUAGGCGGACAUUUAAGUCAGGGGUGAAAUCCCGGGGCUCAACCUCGGAAUUGCCUUUGAUACUGGGUGUCUUGAGUAUGAGAGAGGUGUGUGGAACUCCGAGUGUAGAGGUGAAAUUCGUAGAUAUUCGGAAGAACACCAGUGGCGAAGGCGACACACUGGCUCAUUACUGACGCUGAGGCUCGAAAGCGUGGGGAGCAAACAGGAUUAGAUACCCUGGUAGUCCACGCCGUAAACGAUGAUUGCUAGUUGUCGGGAUGCAUGCAUUUCGGUGACGCAGCUAACGC
RNAcentral lists this ribosomal RNA (785 nucleotides) under Caulobacteraceae bacterium. RNAcentral's name for it is "bacterial SSU rRNA". It matches the Rfam family "Bacterial small subunit ribosomal RNA", at positions 26 to 858 of the family's 1533-position model. The record is from RNAcentral. Lineage: Bacteria; Pseudomonadati; Pseudomonadota; Alphaproteobacteria; Caulobacterales; Caulobacteraceae.